RNAcentral lists this ribosomal RNA (440 nucleotides) under uncultured bacterium. RNAcentral's name for it is "partial 16S ribosomal RNA". It matches the Rfam family "Bacterial small subunit ribosomal RNA", at positions 338 to 795 of the family's 1533-position model. The record is from RNAcentral.
CCUACGGGUGGCAGCAGUAGGGAAUAUUGCUCAAUGGGGGAAACCCUGAAGCAGCAACGCCGCGUGGAGGAUGAAGGUUUUCGGAUUGUAAACUCCUUUUGUUAGAGAAGAUAAUGACGGUAUCUAACGAAUAAGCACCGGCUAACUCCGUGCCAGCAGCCGCGGUAAUACGGAGGGUGCACGCGUUACUCGGAAUCACUGGGCGUAAAGGGCGCGUAGGCGGGAUAGCAAGGCAGAUGUGAAAUCCUAUGGCUUAACCAUAGAACUGCAGUUGAAACUGUUAUUCUAGAGUAUGGGAGAGGUAGGUGGAAUUCUUGGUGUAGGGGUAAAAUCCGUAGAGAUCAAGAGGAAGACUCAUUGCGAAGGCGACCUGCUAGAACAUAACUGACGCUGAUGCGCGAAAGCGUGGGGAGCAAACAGGAUUAGAUACCCCAGUAGUC